RNAcentral lists this ribosomal RNA (501 nucleotides) under uncultured bacterium. RNAcentral's name for it is "bacterial SSU rRNA". It matches the Rfam family "Bacterial small subunit ribosomal RNA", at positions 19 to 518 of the family's 1533-position model. The record is from RNAcentral.
AUGGCUCAGGAUGAACGCUGGCGGCGUGCUUAACACAUGCAAGUCGAGCGAGAAACUUACAGAUGACGCUCGGUUGAUUCAGUAAGCGGAAAGCGGCGGACGGGUGAGUAACGCGUAGGCAACCUGCCCCUGGGCAGAGGGAUAGCAUCGGGAAACUGAUAUUAAGACCUCAUAACGCAUCCACAUCACAUGAUGAGGAUGCCAAAGAUUUAUCGGGCAAGGGAUGGGCCUGCGUCUGAUUAGUUAGUUGGUGAGGUAACGGCUCACCAAGGCAGCGAUCAGUAGCCGACCUGAGAGGGUGAUCGGCCACAUUGGAACUGAGACACGGUCCAGACUCCUACGGGAGGCAGCAGUGGGGAAUAUUGCACAAUGGGGGAAACCCUGAUGCAGCAACGCCGCGUGAGCGAUGAAGGCCUUUGGGUCGUAAAGCUCUGUCCUUGGGGAAGAAAAAAUGACGGUACCCUUGGAGGAAGCCCCGGCUAACUACGUGCCAGCCGCCGC